GUCUGGGUGGUGUAGUUUGUUAUCACGCUAGUCUCACACACUAAGGUCUCCGGUUUGAACCCGGGUUCAGACA
This 73-nucleotide transfer RNA is filed under the name Capsicum annuum. It matches the Rfam family "tRNA". Rfam says of the family: Transfer RNA (tRNA) molecules are approximately 80 nucleotides in length. The record is from Rfam by way of RNAcentral. Lineage: Eukaryota; Viridiplantae; Streptophyta; Magnoliopsida; Solanales; Solanaceae.